GUUUUAGAUAGAGGUGCGGUAAUUAAGAGUACUAUCGAAGAGUGAAGAUGUUGACGCGAUAGGAAAGGGAUUCUCGCCGAAGUCUAUAACUGAUACUUUAAGGUUAUAGAGCUGGUGUUAAGUAGAAGAUAUUUAACAUUGUCACAAUUUAUUAUUGUGGAGGGCUAUCAUUCCG
Molecule: regulatory RNA element, 175 nt
Organism: Turicibacter sp. H121
Lineage: Bacteria; Bacillati; Bacillota; Erysipelotrichia; Erysipelotrichales; Turicibacteraceae
Rfam family: Lysine riboswitch aptamer
About the family: Riboswitches are metabolite binding domains within certain messenger RNAs that serve as precision sensors for their corresponding targets. Allosteric rearrangement of mRNA structure is mediated by ligand binding, and this results in modulation of gene expression.
Source: Rfam